AUUAUUCGUUAUACCUUUAUUUGAUAUUACUUUUCUACUCGGAAUAACCGUAGUAAUUCUAGAGCUAAUACAUGCAUUAAGGCCUGACUUUUGUGGAGGGGCGUGUAUUUAUUAAUACACAAACCAAUGCGGUGCUUGCACCGGUGUUGUGGUGAGUCAUANUAACUAAGCGAAUCGUAUGGCCUUUGCGCUGACUANGAAUCAUUCANNUNCCUGCCCUAUCANCUGUCGAUGGUAGGGUAUUGGCCNACCAUGGCGUUAACGGGUGACAGAGAAUUANGGUUCCAUUCCGGAGAGGGAGCCUGAGGAGACGGCUACCACAUCCAAGGAAGGC
This 334-nucleotide ribosomal RNA is filed under the name marine stramenopile sp. Fav13a. RNAcentral describes it as "partial 18S ribosomal RNA". It matches the Rfam family "Eukaryotic small subunit ribosomal RNA", at positions 100 to 426 of the family's 1831-position model. The record is from RNAcentral.